Molecule: ribosomal RNA, 440 nt
Filed under: uncultured bacterium
Lineage: Bacteria
Description: partial 16S ribosomal RNA
Rfam family: Bacterial small subunit ribosomal RNA
Source: RNAcentral
CCUACGGGUGGCAGCAGUAGGGAAUCUUCCUCAAUGGGGGAAACUCUGAUGCAGCAACGCCGCGUGGAGGAUGAAGGUUUUAGGAUUGUAAACUCCUUUUGUUAGAGAAGAUUAUGACGGUAUCUAACGAAUAAGCACCGGCUAACUCCGUGCCAGCAGCCGAGGUAAUACGGAGGGUGCAAGCGUUACUCGGAAUCACUGGGCGUAAAGAGUGCGGAGGCGGGGUAAUAAGUCAGAUGUGAAAGCCUGUCGCUUAACCAGAGAACUGCAUUUGAAACUGUUACUCUGGAGUGUAGGAGAGGUAAGUGGAAUUCUAUGUGUAGGGGUAGAAUCCGUAGAGAUCAAGAGGAAUACUCAUUGCGAAGGCGACCUGCUGGAACAUUACUGACGCUGAUGCACGAAAGCGUGGGGAGCAAACAGGAUUAGAUACCCGUGUAGUC